Molecule: unclassified non-coding RNA, 376 nt
Filed under: uncultured Microbacteriaceae bacterium
Lineage: Bacteria; Bacillati; Actinomycetota; Actinomycetes; Micrococcales; Microbacteriaceae
Description: contains 16S-23S intergenic spacer region
Source: RNAcentral
UCCGAGUUGACCCCGGCAGUCUCCUAUGAGUUCCCGGCCGAACCGCUGGCAACAUAGAACGAGGGUUGCGCUCGUUGCGGGACUUAACCCAACAUCUCACGACACGAGCUGACGACAACCAUGCACCACCUGUAUACCUGCCUUGCGGGGAGACUGUUUCCAGCCUUUUCAGGUAUAUGUCAAGCCUUGGUAAGGUUCUUCGCGUUGCAUCGAAUUAAUCCGCAUGCUCCGCCGCUUGUGCGGGCCCCCGUCAAUUCCUUUGAGUUUUAGCCUUGCGGCCGUACUCCCCAGGCGGGGCGCUUAAUGCGUUAGCUGCGACACGGAAACCGUGGAAUGGUCCCCACAUCUAGCGCCCACCGUUUACGGCGUGGACUAC